Molecule: ribosomal RNA, 440 nt
Filed under: uncultured bacterium
Lineage: Bacteria
Description: partial 16S ribosomal RNA
Rfam family: Bacterial small subunit ribosomal RNA
Source: RNAcentral
CCUACGGGUGGCAGCAGUAGAGAAUAUUUCACAAUGGGGGAAACCCUGAUGCUGCGACGCCGCGUGGGGGAUUGAGGUUUUAGGAUUGUAAACUCCUUUUCUUAGGGAAGAAAAUGACGGUAUCUGACGAAUAAGCACCGGCUAACUCCGUGCCAGCAGCCGCGGUAAUACGGAGGGUGCAAGCGUUAGCCGGAUUCACUGGGCGUAAAGGGUGCGGAGGCGGGGUCGUAAGUCAGAUGUGAAAGCCUGUGGCUUAACUUCAGAACUGCAUUUGAAACUGUGAGUCUAGAGUGUGGGAGAGGUAAGCGGAAUUCUUGGUGUAGGGGUGAAAUGCGUAGAUAUCAAGAGGAACACUCGUGGCGAAGGCGGCUUACUGGAACAUAACUGACGCUGAGGCACGAAAGCGUGGGGAGCAAACAGGAUUAGAUACCCGGGUAGUC